RNAcentral lists this ribosomal RNA (290 nucleotides) under Naupactus verecundus. Its description in RNAcentral is "partial 12S ribosomal RNA". Lineage: Eukaryota; Metazoa; Arthropoda; Insecta; Coleoptera; Curculionidae. The record is from RNAcentral.
UAGUAGUAGUUAUGUUCUUGAAAAUUAAAGAAGAUGGCGGUAUUUUAGUCUAUUCAGAGGAACCUGUCCUAUAAUUGAUGGUCCACGAGUUAAUAAAUUUAUUUUCUAAGUUUGCAUAUCGCCGUAGAUUGAAUAUUCUUUAAGGAAUAAUAACGUUCAAGAAGUUUAUUUAAGUAGAAAAUAAAUCAGGUCAAGAUGUAGCUGAUAAAUAAGAAGAGAUGGGUUACAAUAAAUUUAUUUAUAAUGGAUUAAUGAAUGAAAAUUCUUAUGAAGGUGGAUUUGAAGGUAAU